UUUCCGUAGGACCUUUGCACAGGUGCUGCAUGGCUGUCGUCAGCUCGUGCCGUGAGGUGUUGGGUUAAAUCCCGCAACGAGCGCAACCCUUAUCAUUAGUUGCCAACACGAAAGGUGGGAACUCUAAUGAGACUGCCUGGGUUAACCAGGAGGAAGGUGAGGAUGACGUCAAGUCCGCAUGGCCUUUAUAUCUGGGGCUACACACGUGCUACAAUGGUCGGUACAGAAGGCAGCAAGACCGCAAGGUGGAGCAAAUCCCUAAAGCCGAUCUCAGUUCAGAUUGUAGUCUGCAACUCGACUACAUGAAGUUGGAAUUGCUAGUAAUGACGUGUCAGCAAUAACGUCGUGAAUACGUUCCCGGGUCUG
Molecule: ribosomal RNA, 366 nt
Filed under: uncultured bacterium
Lineage: Bacteria
Description: bacterial SSU rRNA
Rfam family: Bacterial small subunit ribosomal RNA
Source: RNAcentral